AACGAACGCUGGCGGCAUGCCUAACACAUGCAAGUCGAACGAGACCUUCGGGUCUAGUGGCGCACGGGUGCGUAACGCGUGGGAACCUGCCCUUAGGUUCGGAAUAACUCCCCGAAAGGGGUGCUAAUACCGGAUAAUGUCUUCGGACCAAAGAUUUAUCGCCUUUGGAUGGGCCCGCGUUGGAUUAGCUAGUUGGUAGGGUAAAAGCCUACCAAGGCGACGAUCCAUAGCUGGUCUGAGAGGAUGAUCAGCCACACUGGGACUGAGACACGGCCCAGACUCCUACGGGAGGCAGCAGUGGGGAAUAGUGGACAAGGGGCGAAAGCCUGAUCCAGCAAUGCCGCGUGAGGGAUGAAGGCCUUAGGGUUGUAAAGCUCUUUUACCCGGGAUGAUAAUGACAGUACCGGGAGAAUAAGCGCCGGCUAACUCCG
Molecule: ribosomal RNA, 431 nt
Filed under: uncultured bacterium
Lineage: Bacteria
Description: partial 16S ribosomal RNA
Rfam family: Bacterial small subunit ribosomal RNA
Source: RNAcentral